GGAGAGAUGGCUGAGCGGUCUAAGGCAGCGGUCUUGAAAACCGCCGUAGGUUCCACCUACCGUGGGUUCGAAUCCCACUCUCUCCGCCA
This 89-nucleotide transfer RNA is filed under the name Lentisphaerota bacterium. RNAcentral describes it as "Lentisphaerae bacterium (anaerobic digester metagenome) tRNA-Ser". It matches the Rfam family "tRNA". From Rfam's summary of the family: Transfer RNA (tRNA) molecules are approximately 80 nucleotides in length. Their secondary structure includes four short double-helical elements and three loops (D, anti-codon, and T loops). Lineage: Bacteria; Pseudomonadati; Lentisphaerota. The record is from RNAcentral.